This is a long non-coding RNA of Nothoprocta perdicaria, 595 nucleotides long. RefSeq lists it as uncharacterized. Lineage: Eukaryota; Metazoa; Chordata; Aves; Tinamiformes; Tinamidae. The record is from RefSeq and is a predicted model, not a curated record. The transcript is spliced from 5 exons.
CUUUGCCUGCAAGAAGACAGAGAGACAACCAUGAGAGUUCCGACCGGUCACCUUCAGCCCAAAGCAGUAUUUCUGAUGUUCAAAAAAAGUUCUUUCUUAAAUUUGGAGGGGAGCUGAGGGCUUAAACAAUCUGCAAGACAAGACCAGAUCUUAGAACAUCUCAAAAUGUUUUGAGAAAAGGAUGUACUGAUGAAGCUAAAGGGAGCGAGCAUCACACGAUUUCAUCCCCGUUCAUAUGCCAACAGUGCAGGUCUUACUCAUCUGCAAAGACUGAUAGGAGAAACCUGUCCGAAGGGGAACAUACCGUAUUUUGUCGGAAAGACGUCCUCAUCUGUCACUAGCUUCUGCACCGAACUCAUGACAAAGUCAACAUACUGAGGAGCAGUGCACUUGAUCUUCUUUCCCCGCUCAUCAUACCAGUAGUACUGUCUGUGGAAAGAAUGGAAAAUGUCACCACAUUUACACCACCUCAGCUCAACUCUGAUGAGUGCUGUGGACAGAAUCACCACGUGCCGUGGAGAAAGGGAGGCACCGCUCACGUGCCAUGAACGUCUCGCCUGGUAAAGUUUCUUCUCUUCCGGUGCUGGCUUUUUCC